CAAGCGUUACUCGGAAUUACUGGGCGUAAAGCGUGCGUAGGUGGUUUGUUAAGUCUGUUGUGAAAGCCCCGGGCUCAACCUGGGAAUGGCAAUGGAUACUGGCAAGCUAGAGUGCGGUAGAGGGUAGUGGAAUUCCCGGUGUAGCGGUGAAAUGCGUAGAGAUCGGGAGGAACACCAGUGGCGAAGGCGGCUACCUGGACCAGCACUGACACUGAGGCACGAAAGCGUGGGGAGCAAACAGG
RNAcentral lists this ribosomal RNA (242 nucleotides) under uncultured bacterium. RNAcentral describes it as "partial 16S ribosomal RNA". It matches the Rfam family "Bacterial small subunit ribosomal RNA", at positions 535 to 776 of the family's 1533-position model. The record is from RNAcentral.